UGAGCCAAGUUUAGGGUUUUCUCAAAACCCAAGCAGUAUUGAACUGAAGAGUUUGAUCAUGGCUCAGAUUGAACGCUGGCGGCAGGCCUAACACAUGCAAGUCGAGCGGAUGAAGGGAGCUUGCUCCUGGAUUCAGCGGCGGACGGGUGAGUAAUGCCUAGGAAUCUGCCUG
This 172-nucleotide ribosomal RNA is filed under the name Pseudomonas aeruginosa. RNAcentral's name for it is "partial 16S ribosomal RNA". The stretch from base 41 to 172 matches the Rfam family "Bacterial small subunit ribosomal RNA", at positions 1 to 132 of the family's 1533-position model. Lineage: Bacteria; Pseudomonadati; Pseudomonadota; Gammaproteobacteria; Pseudomonadales; Pseudomonadaceae. The record is from RNAcentral.